Molecule: ribosomal RNA, 253 nt
Filed under: uncultured bacterium
Lineage: Bacteria
Description: partial 16S ribosomal RNA
Rfam family: Bacterial small subunit ribosomal RNA
Source: RNAcentral
UACGUAGGGGGCAAGCGUUGUCCGGAAUUAUUGGGCGUAAAGAGCGCGUAGGCGGUCCGGUAAGUCGGUUGUGAAAGUCGGGGGCUCAACCCUCGGAUGCCGAUCGAUACUGUCGGGCUAGAGUCCGGAAGAGGCGAGUGGAAUUCCUGGUGUAGCGGUGAAAUGCGCAGAUAUCAGGAAGAACACCAAUGGCGAAGGCAGCUCGCUGGGACGGUACUGACGCUGAGGCGCGAAAGCGUGGGGAGCAAACAGG